ACUACUGAGCCAUCUCUCUAGCCCCUCUAAAAUAUUUUAAACAAGCAUUGAAAAAUAACAAAAUUGGGCUGGAGAGAUGGCUCAGCAGU
This 89-nucleotide microRNA precursor is filed under the name Rattus norvegicus (Norway rat). RNAcentral describes it as "mir-3473 microRNA precursor family". It matches the Rfam family "mir-3473 microRNA precursor family". Lineage: Eukaryota; Metazoa; Chordata; Mammalia; Rodentia; Muridae. The record is from Rfam by way of RNAcentral.